GACGAACGCUGGCGGCGUGCCCAACACAUGCAAGUCGAGCGAGAGACUUCGGUCUCUAGCGGCGGACGGGUGAGUAACACGUGGGUAACCUGCCUCAUAGUGGGGGAUAGCCUUCCGAAAGGAAGAUUAAUACCGCAUAUACUCUCGAUACCACAUGGUAUUUAGAGGAAAGGAGCAAUUCGCUAUGAGAUGGACCCGCGGCGCAUUAGCUAGUUGGUGAGGUAACGGUUCACCAAGGCGACGAUGCGUAGCCGACCUGAGAGGGUGAUCGGCAACAUUGGAACUGAGACACGGUCCAGACUCCUACGGGAGGCAGCAGUGGGGAAUAUUGCACAAUGGGCGAAAGCCUGAUGCAGCAACGCCGCGUGAGUGAUGACGGCCUUCGGGUUGUAAAGCUCUGUCUUUUGGGACGAUAAUGACGGUACCAAUGGAGGAAGCCACGGCUAACUACGUGCCAGCCGCCGCGGUAA
Molecule: ribosomal RNA, 470 nt
Filed under: uncultured bacterium
Lineage: Bacteria
Description: partial 16S ribosomal RNA
Rfam family: Bacterial small subunit ribosomal RNA
Source: RNAcentral